Molecule: ribosomal RNA, 303 nt
Filed under: uncultured bacterium
Lineage: Bacteria
Description: partial 16S ribosomal RNA
Rfam family: Bacterial small subunit ribosomal RNA
Source: RNAcentral
AGCAGUCGCCGCGGUAAGACGAACCGUGCAAACGUUACUCGGAAUCACUGGGCUUAAAGCGCACGUAGGCGGCGACAUAAGUUAGAGGUGAAAUCCCAUCGGCUCAACCGUGGAACUGCCUCUAAUACUGUGUUGCUUGAGGGAGAACGGGGCAUUCGGAACUUCCGGUGGAGCGGUGAAAUGUGUUGAUAUCGGAAGGAACGCCGGUGGCGAAAGCGGAAUGCUGGGCCUCUUCUGACGCUGAGGUGCGAAAGCUAGGGUAGCGAACGGGAUUAGAUACCCGCGUAGUCCCUGUCUCUUAUA